Molecule: ribosomal RNA, 879 nt
Filed under: Triticum aestivum (bread wheat)
Lineage: Eukaryota; Viridiplantae; Streptophyta; Magnoliopsida; Poales; Poaceae
Description: partial small subunit ribosomal RNA
Source: RNAcentral
AUGGCGCUGGCGGCGGCGGCGCCGAGGGCGGUGCGCGUGGGGGCGGGGGCCGCGCCCAAGGUGGCGUUCCUGUUCCUGGCCAAGUGGGACCUGCCGAUGGCGCCGCUGUGGGAGCGCUUCUUCGAGGGCCACCGCGGGCUCUACUCCGUCUACGUCCACACCGACCCGGCCUUCAACGCCUCCGCCGCCGCCCCGGACAGCGGCUCCGCCUUCCACCGCCGACACAUCCCCAGCAAGGAGGUAAAAUGGGGCCACAUAAGCAUGGUGGAAGCCGAACGGCGUCUCCUGGCGCACGCACUGUUGGACCACUCCAACGCCCGCUUCAUCCUCCUGUCGGAGUCGCACGUCCCACUCUUUGACUUCCCCACCGUCUACUCCUACCUCACCAACUCCACCAAGGUGUACAUGGAGUCCUACGACGAGCCCGGCGGGACGGGCCGGGGCCGGUACAAGCGUGGCAUGGCACCCACCAUCACCCCUUGGCAGUGGCGCAAGGGCUCACAGUGGUUCGAGAUGGACCGGGCCCUUGCCAUUGACGUCGUUGCCGACAACGUCUACUUCCCGGUCUUCAAAAAGUUCUGCAAGCGCAACUGCUACGCCGACGAGCACUACCUUCCGACAUUCCUCCACAUCCGCCACCCUGAGGUGGCCGCCGGACGAACUGUGACGUGGGUUGACUGGUCCCAUGGCGGGCCCCACCCGUCAAGGUUCACGAGGAUGGAGGUCACGGUGGACUUCCUGCGGUGGCUCAGGGGCGGGACGACAUGUGAGUACAAUGGAAAGACCACCACCGUCUGCUUCCUAUUCGCGAGGAAGUUCCUGCCCAACUCGCUCACCCGCUUCUUGAGAUUCGCGCCAAAGGUGAUGGGCUUUGGCUGA